This is a long non-coding RNA of Myotis davidii, 112 nucleotides long. RefSeq lists it as uncharacterized. Lineage: Eukaryota; Metazoa; Chordata; Mammalia; Chiroptera; Vespertilionidae. The transcript has 2 exons. The record is from RefSeq and is a predicted model, not a curated record.
CAACACCCAACCACUGAGCCACACCAGCCAGUGUAUAUUAAGCUUUUGUCUGCUACUUUGUGGACUUAUCUCUGGUGUAAUAAGUCUUCAGUUGUGUCUAAUUUGCUGUUUA